Molecule: long non-coding RNA, 386 nt
Filed under: Capsicum annuum
Lineage: Eukaryota; Viridiplantae; Streptophyta; Magnoliopsida; Solanales; Solanaceae
Description: long non-coding RNA (CANN_LNC004208)
Source: RNAcentral
AUUGCUUGACUUAACUGACCUUGGUGAUAACAAGGAAGAAACUCAGGAUUAUCAACAUCUUGAUUGUUUUGAGAGAUAGUGCGAGUGGGCGCAGGGAUGGAGCCAUCGAGAUGCCCAUAAAGAUUGUGACUAUGCAUAAGCAUUGAAACUUGAGCUUUCCACAGCGAGACUUUGUGACUGCCGGUUAAUUUUAUGGGCAGUUGGGUAACAGGAUAAAACUGCACAACAGUAUUGGCGUUGUUGACUCCAUCGGCCUUGGUCACAGAAGUAUUAGGGGCCCUUUGGAUAAGCAAGCAGAAAAAAAGAGGAUCAACUCAUGGGAGUAUUUAGAAGUGCUCCGAUACCAUAAAGAAGCAAAACCAGAAGAUGGGAAAAUAGUUAUCGUC